RNAcentral lists this ribosomal RNA (327 nucleotides) under Pseudo-nitzschia multiseries. RNAcentral describes it as "LSU rRNA". It matches the Rfam family "Eukaryotic large subunit ribosomal RNA", at positions 207 to 543 of the family's 3401-position model. The record is from RNAcentral. Lineage: Eukaryota; Bacillariophyta; Bacillariophyceae; Bacillariales; Bacillariaceae.
AGAGGGUGACACUCCCGUCCGCCUGGCAGAGUGAGUCAUCUGUCAACGAGUCGAGUUGUUUGGGAUUGCAGCUCUAAUUUGGUGGUAAAUUCCAUCUAAAGCUAAGUAUUGGUGGGAGACCGAUAGCGUACAAGUACCGUGAGGGAAAGAUGCAAAGAACUUUGAAAAGAGAGUUAAAGAGUACCUGAAACUGCUGAAACGGAAGCGAAAGGAAACCAGUGUUUGUUUGUUCAUAUUUCCCUAGCCACUUGUGGCUUGGGCGCUGUGGGCUUGCGUGAGUUUGGGUUGGUUGAUUCCUUUAGAAGAGCGCAGUCAGAGUUGAUGUCU